CACGUAGGGUGCGAGCGUUGUCCGGAAUUAUUGGGCGUAAAGGGCGCGUAGGCGGCCUGGCAAGUGGAAGGUGAAAUCCCUCGGCUUAACCGAGGAACUGCCCUCCAAACUGCUUGGCUUGAGUCCGGGAGAGGUGAGUGGAAUUCCCAGUGUAGCGGUGAAAUGCGUAGAUAUUGGGAGGAACACCAGUGGCGAAGGCGGCUCACUGGACCGGAACUGACGCUGAGGCGCGAAAGCGUGGGGAGCAAACGGG
This 253-nucleotide ribosomal RNA is filed under the name uncultured bacterium. Its description in RNAcentral is "partial 16S ribosomal RNA". It matches the Rfam family "Bacterial small subunit ribosomal RNA", at positions 524 to 776 of the family's 1533-position model. The record is from RNAcentral.